Gossypium hirsutum (cotton) is the source of this 122-nucleotide non-coding RNA. The record is from Rfam. NCBI's taxonomy places the organism in Eukaryota, Viridiplantae, Streptophyta, Magnoliopsida, Malvales, Malvaceae.
AAUAGUUUUAUGCCACAUCAGUACUCUUAUCCUGAAUUUCAGGAUUUUAUCCUGAAAAAAAACAAAUCCAAAUUAAAAUACUGAAAUUCAGGAUAAGAAUACUGAUGUGGUAUAAAACUAUU